GGGCUUCCUGGAGAAGGGGCUCCAAGGGGGAACCGACUGCCGGCUAGGCCCCGCCGCAGCUUGCGCAGGCCGCCCUGAGUGCGCUCCGGGACCUCUCAGGCUUGGGGAGGAUUUAACGCUUCCCUCACCCCCAAGACUUCCAAUCCUCAAUUACAGACCCAGGAGAAUUCCUUCGGGCUUGAAGGGAUUACGCAGAUCGCAGAAACAUGGUUAAGUGGAAGUCGGAGAAACCCGACAAGUAACAAGAACAGAAACUUUCUUCAAACCAAAUUUCCCGCAUUUUACGGGAAAGCGUACUCGAGAUCUCGCUACUGGGUCUUCACAGUGGCAGCCGCUGUUCUCUCAUCGGCCAGACAGGCCGGCGUGGAAGGCGGGUUUCCUGAGAGGUGUAUGUCCCAGAAUACACUCUGCCCUCCUGGGAGGAAAAGGCGACGCCUACGGCAGAGGGCCGUCCCGCAUCAGAGGUUCCAGGAGCGUCAAAGCCGGACUUCAGAUCUGAGCGGCGGCGGAGCCACGCUUGUGUGGUGUCCGCGCCCAUCUGGAGGCGGGUGGCGGGACCUCCUCGCCAGCGGUCCCCGCCCUGGGCCGAAGCCAGGCUUUGGCAGCAGCGGGUCACAAUCGGGGACAGGGGUGGCCGGAGGGGGCCCGAGCAUCAGGCUUCCUGGUCGCUAGAGGUAUUUUUAAUUCCGCAGAAGAGACUCAGGACUCCUAACUCCCAGCACUGGGUGCAGGCUCAGAAGGGGACUGUGUCAGACUUACUUUGCGGCGCGGCCCAGCCUUUUGCGCGCGCAAAGUCUCGGGACCGCCGGCGUGGUUAGAAACGCGGCCUGGGCCGGUUGGCGGAAGGGGGCGCAAUGCGCACGGCCGCUUGAGGAGCUCUGUAAGCAUGGAGGGCGGAGGGCUAGCUGAACACCGGCAGAUCCGAGCGCGGGAUGGGGCCUGAUGUCUACACCAUCAUUUUUGGAGAAGCUGUCAACUCUGACAAAUGAAGGAAAGCGGAAGGCAGCGAGCCGCACCUGCGAAAAGGCCUGGAAUUCCAGGGCCAACCCCGCCCAUCUGUUCUUUUCUAAGAGUACUUGGACCCUGCUUGAUUGUUUGAGAUCCAGCGAUUGGAUUUUCUGAAAGUAAAUCUCAGAAAUGGAAAUUCACGCUCAUUACCUUGCACAAACAUUUUUAAUUUCUGAGUGGCCUGCAUUGAGCCUAGAGGCAAGAAUCCUUCUUGCUGGAGCCAUAGUCGAGCCUGUAAAAGCCGAAAACCUUCCGCUGAGGUUAGAAAGGCAAUAAUUUAGACACACAGAGAAAAUUCCUAGCUGGAAGACAAGAGAAAACGCUCCAAGUGAAGUUAGAAAAUUUACCUUUGUAUAAAAAUCCUUUGAACAUUAUUGGACGGUUACUUUCCCUCGGGCAAGAGGAUGACUUCAGGGCGAGACCAGACCCUCGCGGGUCUCCUAAGGCCCCACCCCGUGACUCAGUGCGCCUGCGUGCAGCCCACCUGCUCAGGGUUCUCCCUCCUGCGGCCGCCAGAAGGAUGCACCCUAUCGCAAUGUGCAUGAUUGCUGAUAAAUGAGAUGCCAUUUCACCUUUACAGUUCCAUCCACCAGUCAAGUUUCUGGCCCUAAGUGCCUACAUUCUUUCUCAAGUUUGUCGAUACUUCGUCUGAUCAUGAUUCUGGGAGUUGACUGGGGUCUGCUGGGUGGUUUUUCUGCUGCAAAUGCUGUUGCCUGGAGCUGCAAUCAUCUGUGGACUCGACCGGACUGGGACAUCCAAG
Equus caballus (horse) is the source of this 1768-nucleotide long non-coding RNA. The record is from Ensembl. NCBI's taxonomy places the organism in Eukaryota, Metazoa, Chordata, Mammalia, Perissodactyla, Equidae.